RNAcentral lists this ribosomal RNA (774 nucleotides) under uncultured Neocallimastigales. Its description in RNAcentral is "partial large subunit ribosomal RNA". It matches the Rfam family "Eukaryotic large subunit ribosomal RNA", at positions 22 to 635 of the family's 3401-position model. The record is from RNAcentral. Lineage: Eukaryota; Fungi; Neocallimastigomycota; Neocallimastigomycetes; Neocallimastigales.
GUACACGCUGUGACUAGCAUAUCAAUAAGCGGAGGAAAAGAAACUAACAAGGAUUCCCCUAGUAACGGCGAGUGAAGCGGGUAGAGCUCAAAUUUGAAAUCUUAAAGGGUUUCCCUUUACGAAUUGUAGUUUAAAGAAGUGUUUUCUGUUGAGGUUUUGGUAAAAGUUCUUUGGAAUAGGACAUCAUAGAGGGUGAGAAUCCCGUAUUUGACCUUUACUUUCAACUUUGUGAUACACUUUCAAAGAGUCGGAUUGUUUGGGAAUGCAGUCCAAAAUGGGUGGUAAAUUUCAUCUAAAGCUAAAUAUUGGCGAGAGACCGAUAGCGAACAAGUACCGUGAGGGAAAGAUGAAAAGAACUUUGAAAAGAGAGUUAAACAGUACGUGAAAUUGUCAAAAGGGAAGCGUUUGACACCAGUGUUGUUUUUCUGAAAAUCAAUUAAAGAACUGUUUAUGCUAAGUUGUUUAGACUUUAUCAGCUAACUGUUUAGUUUUGAGCUUUUCUUUAAUGCACUUUUCAGUUAACAAGUCAACAUCAAUUUCUUUUGCUGUAAAAAAGCUUGAGGAAGGUGGCUUGAGAUUCGUCUUAAGUGUUUAUAGCCUCUUGCCUAUGCAGUCGGAGAGAUUGAGGUCUGCAGCGUAGAUCCUUCGGGGCUAAAUGCAUUUGUGCUAAGUUAUAGCAUUUUAUAGACAACUUGUUGACUAUGAUUUGUCUUGUAGCUUACUCGCUUAUGUUAUUUUACCUACGCUUAGGAUGUUGAAGAUGUAGCACAUCAU